This is a non-coding RNA of Stappia sp. 22II-S9-Z10, 71 nucleotides long. The record is from Rfam. Lineage: Bacteria; Pseudomonadati; Pseudomonadota; Alphaproteobacteria; Hyphomicrobiales; Stappiaceae.
GGCGACGUGGCGGAGUGGUUACGCAGCGGACUGCAAAUCCGUGUACGCCGGUUCGAUUCCGGCCGUCGCCU